UACGGAGGGUGCGAGCGUUGUCCGGAAUUACUGGGCGUAAAGCGUGCGCAGGCGGUUCGUUGUGUCGGUGGUGAAAUCCCCGGGCUUAACCUGGGAAUGGCCAUGGAAACUGGCGAACUGGAGUGCGGCAGAGGGGGGUGGAAUUCCGCGUGUAGCAGUGAAAUGCGUAGAGAUGCGGAGGAACACCGAUGGCGAAGGCAGCCCCCUGGGCUAGCACUGACGCUCAGGCACGAAAGCGUGGGGAGCAAACAGG
This 253-nucleotide ribosomal RNA is filed under the name uncultured bacterium. RNAcentral's name for it is "partial 16S ribosomal RNA". It matches the Rfam family "Bacterial small subunit ribosomal RNA", at positions 524 to 776 of the family's 1533-position model. The record is from RNAcentral.